GCUGGGGGAGAGCUGUCCCUCCCAAGGCCUGCAGUUGGGAGGGGGACUUGGGGGGCCGUCUAGGGGCCCUUUCAGGGUGAGUCAUGCUAACGUAGUCCAGGCUGGCCUCGAACUUGAAGCGAUCCUCCUGCCUCAGCCUCCUGAGUUCUAGAAUUAUAGCUCCAUGGGACAUGGCCGCCCAGGCCGCCUUGCUGGGGCUCAUCUAGGAGUGGCGUUCCUCAUGUCGCCCUGAAGGCCAGCUCUGGACCUCCCCAGGAAAGUGCCACCUUGCAGAGCUGCUCCUCCGGAGCCCCGACCCUUGGGACACCCUCCAGCCGGCGGCCCCCAGUGGAGUGGGGGCUCCAGGAGGCCAGGCCUGGCUUGCUGACCUUGGACAGCAGCUGCAGGACGGGCCAGAGGGGGAGGCUGCCACCCAG
This 416-nucleotide long non-coding RNA is filed under the name Heterocephalus glaber (naked mole-rat). Its description in RNAcentral is "lncRNA (ENSHGLG00100033339.1)". The record is from RNAcentral. Lineage: Eukaryota; Metazoa; Chordata; Mammalia; Rodentia; Bathyergidae.